This is a long non-coding RNA of Heterocephalus glaber (naked mole-rat), 1056 nucleotides long. The record is from Ensembl. Lineage: Eukaryota; Metazoa; Chordata; Mammalia; Rodentia; Bathyergidae.
CUUUCAUAUUCUAGGAGGACGCACGGCUCUGCUGCAGUCACUGCUCAUUUUCUUGUUCAUGUUCCUCUUUUUCUUUUUUUUUUUAGUUCUUUUAUUGGUACAUUUUAGGAACACAGCACAGGAGUAGCUGAUGGAAAUCUUGGAAAAGCAGAAUUUCUGGAAACCCAGAGUCUCCCUGGACCAGCCAACAAGAUUCCAUGCCCUCUGCCAUGACCCUCCCUAAUCCAUUUUGCUCAAUUUCCUUUGGGUCCUUUUUUAUGGCCACAAGUUGUCUUAGGACUGCUCUUCUUGCCUUAGACUGUUUCUGGUCAUUUUCCCCAAACUUCUUGUUUGCUCGGGGCUUGGUCCUUCCCAAGCUCAAGGUUACCUUCCGUCUCCCAACGUGCCUCCUCUGUGCCAUGAAUAUGGAGAAACAAGCUCUGUUGGGACCCCACUCACCCUCAUCCAGUGCAUUUCAUUCACCCUUUCAGUGCCUCACUCCCGCCAUGGCUCCCCGGAGCAAUGACAUCCACUCCUGAAGAAUCCGUGGCCCACUUAGGAGGCAGAGUGUCCAGUCUUGUCUGCCCAGGCACCCUGUGCAACCACCUACUCCUGGGCCUGGCCCUUUCCCAUUUUGUUUCUUUUCAUUUUUCUCUUCCCAGGCUAGAGGAUUUUUUUCCCCUCCCAGAAUAACUAAAUUCCUUUGGCUUCUUGUUUGUGGAAGGUAUUCUUGCUGUUAUCACAGAUCUUCUCUCCUUUACUUUUUCCUUUAUGGGAUUAAUAUCCUUUAAGGAUUCAGGCUUUUGAGGAAAAUAAAAACCAAGGAAAAUGUUAGGCUAUUUCUGCUUUACUCCCAGUCACACCCUACUCUUGUUUAAGUUGGGGCCGGGGGGUGCCGUGCAGAAGGUGAACUGUGAGGAAAAGAAAAAAAACUGAAGGAGAAAAAAUUGUCAUACCGUGCAAUACUAUACAGCCAGCUGCACUCAUAAUGGGCAGUCAAAUUCUGCGGUCUAUUCAAAGUUAUUUCCUAUAGUCCUUCCUAAUCGGCCUUGAGAUAGGGGAGGAAAAGAAGACGGG